AGAGUUUGAUCAUGGCUCAGGAUGAACGCUAGCGGCAGGCUUAACACAUGCAAGUCGAGGGGUAACAGGAUUUAGUUUACUAGAUUGCUGACGACCGGCGCACGGGUGAGUAACGCGUAUACAAUUUGCCUUUUACUGAAGAAUAGCCCAGAGAAAUUUGGAUUAAUGCUUCAUAGUAUUAUUUGGUCACCUGGCCGAGUAAUUAAAGUUCCGGCGGUAAAAGAUGAGUAUGCGUCCUAUUAGCUAGAUGGUAAGGUAACGGCUUACCAUGGCGACGAUAGGUAGGGGUCCUGAGAGGGAGAUCCCCCACACUGGUACUGAGACACGGACCAGACUCCUACGGGAGGCAGCAGUGAGGAAUAUUGGGCAAUGGAGGCAACUCUGACCCAGCCAUGCCGCGUGCAGGAAGACUGCCCUAUGGGUUGUAAACUGCUUUUAUACAGGAAGAAACUUAUCCACGUGUGGAUAACUGACGGUACUGUAAGAAUAAGGACCGGCUAACUCCGUGCCAGCAGCCGCGGUAAUACGGAGGGUCCAAGCGUUAUCCGGAAUCAUUGGGUUUAAAGGGUCCGUAGGCGGGCAAUUAAGUCAGAGGUGAAAUCCCACAGCUCAACUGUGGAACUGCCUUUGAUACUGGUUGUCUUGAGUUACAGUGAAGUAGAUAGAAUAUGUAGUGUAGCGGUGAAAUGCAUAGAUAUUACAUAGAAUACCGAUUGCGAAGGCAGUCUACUAACUGUAUACUGACGCUAAUGCACGAAAGCGUGGGGAGCGAACAGGAUUAGAUACCCUGAUAGUCCACGCCGUAAACGAUGGUCACUAGUUGUUGGGGUCUUGUACCUCAGUGAUUAAGAGAAAUUGAUAAGUGACCCACCUGGGGAGUACGAUCGC
RNAcentral lists this ribosomal RNA (888 nucleotides) under uncultured Bacteroidota bacterium. Its description in RNAcentral is "bacterial SSU rRNA". It matches the Rfam family "Bacterial small subunit ribosomal RNA", at positions 8 to 889 of the family's 1533-position model. Lineage: Bacteria; Pseudomonadati; Bacteroidota. The record is from RNAcentral.